RNAcentral lists this ribosomal RNA (253 nucleotides) under uncultured bacterium. Its description in RNAcentral is "partial 16S ribosomal RNA". It matches the Rfam family "Bacterial small subunit ribosomal RNA", at positions 524 to 776 of the family's 1533-position model. The record is from RNAcentral.
UACAGAGGGGGCAAGCGUUGUUCGGAAUUACUGGGCGUAAAGGGCGCGUAGGCGGCCUUCUAAGUCGAACGUGAAAUCCCUGGGCUCAACCCAGGAACUGCGUCCGAUACUGGAAGGCUUGAAUCCGGGAGAGGGAAGCGGAAUUCCGGGUGUAGCGGUGAAAUGCGUAGAUAUCCGGAGGAACACCGGUGGCGAAGGCGGCUUCCUGGACCGACACUGACGCUGAGGCGCGAAAGCUAGGGGAGCAAACGGG